AACGUACGCUGGCGGCACGCCUAACACAUGCAAGUCGAACGAAGUAGCAAUACUUAGUGGCAGACGGGUGAGUAACAUGUGGGUAUCUUCCCUAUGGCCUGGAAUAACACGAGGAAACUUGUGCUAAUACUGGAUAAGUCUUUACGGAGAAAGCUUUAUGCACCAUUGGAUGAGCCCGCACUUGAUUAGUUUGUUGGUAGGGUAAUGGCCUACCAAGACUUUGAUCAAUAGCUGAUUUGAGAGGAUGAUCAGCCACAUUGGGACUGAGACACGGCCCAAACUCCUACGGGAGGCAGCAGUGGGGAAUCUUGCACAAUGGAGGAAACUCUGAUGCAGCGAUGCCGCGUGAGUGAAGAAGGCCUUUGGGUUGUAAAGCUCUUUCGUCGGGGAAGAAAAUGACUGUACCCGAAUAAGAAGGUCCGGCUAACUUCGUGCCAGCAGCCGCGGUAAUACGAAGGGACCUAGCGUAGUUCGGAAUUACUGGGCUUAAAGAGUUCGUAGGUGGUUGAAAAAGUUAGUGGUGAAAUCCCAGAGCUUAACUCUGGAACUGCCAUUAAAACUUUUCAGCUAGAGUAUGAUAGAGGAAAGCAGAAUUUCUAGUGUAGAGGUGAAAUUCGUAGAUAUUAGAAAGAAUACCAAUUGCGAAGGCAGCUUUCUGGAUCAUUACUGACACUGAGGAACGAAAGCAUGGGUAGCGAAGAGGAUUAGAUACCCUCGUAGUCCAUGCCGUAAACGAUGUGUGUUAGACGUUGGAAAUUUAUUUUCAGUGUCGCAGCGAAAGCGAUAAACACACCGCCUGGGGAGUACGACCGCAAGGUUA
This 820-nucleotide ribosomal RNA is filed under the name uncultured marine bacterium. Its description in RNAcentral is "bacterial SSU rRNA". It matches the Rfam family "Bacterial small subunit ribosomal RNA", at positions 28 to 896 of the family's 1533-position model. The record is from RNAcentral.